CAGGCUUCUGAAGUGCACUUUUCGGAUACAUGUUCACAAGAUGCGCACUUCGCGCACCUAGCGCACCCUCUGCACGUUUGGAAUCCGUGUCCGAAGUGCUGACACUUGAAACAUCGGCAAGGAUUCGGUAUAUACGGUCUGACACGAAGCUUACAGUAACCGGUUGCAAUGAAGUCAGGAAGGUUGCUUGUACCAAAGUGAGAAUCAAGCCCAGGACGUAUACAUGGCAAGCAGGUGUUCUACCAUGAAGCCACACCAAUGCUUGAAGCUUCUUUGCGCAAGAAAGCUAUGACAAUGUCAUGUACUCGGAGGAGUCUCCUUAACGCAUGUAAUAUAGCAUGGCAGAGGCAUAAAAUCACAACAACCAUCAAAA
Molecule: long non-coding RNA, 373 nt
Organism: Rhipicephalus microplus (southern cattle tick)
Lineage: Eukaryota; Metazoa; Arthropoda; Arachnida; Ixodida; Ixodidae
Source: RefSeq, a predicted model, not a curated record